Molecule: long non-coding RNA, 692 nt
Organism: Pseudopipra pipra
Lineage: Eukaryota; Metazoa; Chordata; Aves; Passeriformes; Pipridae
Exons: 2
Source: RefSeq, a predicted model, not a curated record
GGAGCUCCCACCGCCCUUCCGUGGUCCCAGCAGCGCCUGAGGGGAACGGGGGGACGGUGCCGCUCGGAGGGGCCGCGCCGCGGCUGAGCGGGCAGAGCUUGCGGGACCGCUGCCGGAUUGAAAAGCAGUUCUGCUUCUACGGGGACUUAGACUGCCCCGACUGGGUGCUGGCUGAGAUCAGCUCCCUGGCCGAAAUCUUUUAAGUGCCCGCCCCCACCCCCAUCCCCCUGCCUGCCCCAGGCCCGCUGCCCACCCUCCUUCUCCUGCGCAGCCCCCGCUGCUGCUGAAGUUCAGCGCUAUUUCAGUACUUGUUCUACUUGUAUUUCUGAAAAAAAGCUAGAAUCAGGAUAGCCAAAGCAACAUAGAAAGUCUAUUCCAUCUUCAGCUACAUUACAGGGCAAAGGAAAUAAGUGAUCCUACCCAUCAGUGGAACAGGGAAAGAAUGAAGAUUAAGUCUGUGAGCUAUAGAAGAGAAAAAUCACACUGUAACAACUUAGAAGAUUGCUCCAAGACCACAGUCACAGGAAAAGGGAAGAGAGCCAGGGGCAGAAACUGUAAGGCCAAAAAGAUGAUGGACACAUCUGUGCAUCAAUCAGGUUCAGAGGUCACUGCAUGCCCCAAGCCUAACGAGUUCUCUGGUUUAUGUGUGUUAUACACCUAUUAAUUACUUGAAUAGAAAAUUUACAAUUGAA